Molecule: ribosomal RNA, 301 nt
Filed under: uncultured bacterium
Lineage: Bacteria
Description: partial 16S ribosomal RNA
Rfam family: Bacterial small subunit ribosomal RNA
Source: RNAcentral
CAGUCGCCGCGGGAAUACGUAGGUGGCAAGCGUUGUCCGGAAUUAUUGGGCGUAAAGGGCUCGCAGGCGGUUUCUUAAGUCUGAUGUGAAAGCCCCCGGCUCAACCGGGGAGGGUCAUUGGAAACUGGGAAACUUGAGUGCAGAAGAGGAGAGUGGAAUUCCACGUGUAGCGGUGAAAUGCGUAGAGAUGUGGAGGAACACCAGUGGCGAAGGCGACUCUCUGGUCUGUAACUGACGCUGAGGAGCGAAAGCGUGGGGAGCGAACAGGAUUAGAUACCCCGGUAGUCCCUGUCUCUUAUAC